Molecule: non-coding RNA, 44 nt
Filed under: Schistosoma margrebowiei
Lineage: Eukaryota; Metazoa; Platyhelminthes; Trematoda; Strigeidida; Schistosomatidae
Source: RNAcentral
AGCGGCUGACGAGUCACAAAUAGGACGAAACGCGCGUCCUGGGU